UUUACAGAGAACAGGAAGGUGCAGCCACCCCCAGGGCACAGUCUAGGGUGGGAUGUGAGGGUGCAGAGCCUGCAGGGAGAACUCAGACGAAAUGUAGGACUUUAAGACCCAAGCUCAGAUUCUACAACGCCCACGGGACUAAGAGGUGUGCAACCUCCCCGCACCCCCCCCAAUGUGUCAGUAUCUGGUUGGUCAUAGCACCCCAAAGGUCAAUAAGGUGGCUAUAAAACCCCUCUGGGUGUGAGGAGGAAAAAUAAACUAAACUAAACUGUUCCUCAUUUGACCCUAAAUGAGGAACACAA
This 302-nucleotide long non-coding RNA is filed under the name Mus musculus (house mouse). RNAcentral describes it as "predicted gene 45237". Lineage: Eukaryota; Metazoa; Chordata; Mammalia; Rodentia; Muridae. The record is from RNAcentral.